UAGACCUCAAAUCAGGUAGAACUACCCGCUGAACUUAAGCAUAUCAAUAAGCGGAGGAAAAGAAACUAACAAGGAUUCCCCUAGUAACGGCGAGUGAAGAGGGAAAAGCCCAAAUUUGUAAUCUGGCUCUUUUUCAAGGGUCUGAGUUGUAAUUUUAAGACCUGUUUUCAGUGCUGGACCACACACAAGUUUGUUGGAAAACAACAUCAGUGAGGGUGAUAAUCCCGUACAUGGUGUGGACUACCAGUGCAGUAUGAUACAGAGUCUAAGAGUCGAGUUGUUUGGGAAUGCAGCUCAAAAUGGGUGGUAA
This 310-nucleotide ribosomal RNA is filed under the name Phakopsora coca. RNAcentral's name for it is "eukaryotic LSU rRNA". It matches the Rfam family "Eukaryotic large subunit ribosomal RNA", at positions 1 to 302 of the family's 3401-position model. Lineage: Eukaryota; Fungi; Basidiomycota; Pucciniomycetes; Pucciniales; Phakopsoraceae. The record is from RNAcentral.